Molecule: transfer RNA, 72 nt
Filed under: Candidatus Kerfeldbacteria bacterium
Lineage: Bacteria; Candidatus Kerfeldiibacteriota
Description: tRNA-Pro
Rfam family: tRNA
About the family: Transfer RNA (tRNA) molecules are approximately 80 nucleotides in length. Their secondary structure includes four short double-helical elements and three loops (D, anti-codon, and T loops).
Source: RNAcentral
CGGGAUGUAGUUCAGUUGGCUAGAACGCUCGCUUUGGGAGCGAGAGGUCCGCGGUUCGAGUCCGCGCACCCC